RNAcentral lists this ribosomal RNA (467 nucleotides) under uncultured bacterium. RNAcentral describes it as "partial 16S ribosomal RNA". It matches the Rfam family "Bacterial small subunit ribosomal RNA", at positions 28 to 506 of the family's 1533-position model. The record is from RNAcentral.
GACGAACGCUGGCGGCGUGCUUAACACAUGCAAGUCGAACGGAAAGGCCCUGCUUUUGUGGGGUGCUCGAGUGGCGAACGGGUGAGUAACACGUGAGUAACCUGCCCUUGACUUUGGGAUAACUUCAGGAAACUGGGGCUAAUACCGGAUAGGAGCUCCUGCUGCAUGGUGGGGGUUGGAAAGUUUCGGCGGUUGGGGAUGGACUCGCGGCUUAUCAGCUUGUUGGUGGGGUAGUGGCUUACCAAGGCUUUGACGGGUAGCCGUCCUGAGAGGGUGACCGGCCACAUUGGGACUGAGAUACGGCCCAGACUCCUACGGGAGGCAGCAGUGGGGAAUAUUGCACAAUGGGCGGAAGCCUGAUGCAGCAACGCCGCGUGCGGGAUGACGGCCUUCGGGUUGUAAACCGCUUUCGCCUGUGACGAAGCGUGAGUGACGGUAAUGGGUAAAGAAGCACCGGCUAACUACGU